CUCUCUGUCUCACUCUUUCUUCCUCUGUCUCUCUCUCACACACACACAUACAAAUACAUACACAGAUCAAAAUUGAACAUACGAUGUACCAGCUUGCUCUUUUGCCCUCCUGCCCACCUGUGUUUCACACAACCUCUGGAAACCACUCAGCGAGGGAAGCCUGCCGUAUCCCUGAAUGGAUUCUUUGGAUCUACUGGCUCUGGAAAAUCUGCACUUACCUGCCAACAGGACCAGAAGGUGA
Non-coding RNA from Notechis scutatus (mainland tiger snake), 241 nucleotides. The record is from RefSeq and is a predicted model, not a curated record. Lineage: Eukaryota; Metazoa; Chordata; Lepidosauria; Squamata; Elapidae.